This 253-nucleotide ribosomal RNA is filed under the name uncultured bacterium. Its description in RNAcentral is "partial 16S ribosomal RNA". It matches the Rfam family "Bacterial small subunit ribosomal RNA", at positions 524 to 776 of the family's 1533-position model. The record is from RNAcentral.
GACGAACCGUGCGAACGUUAUUCGGAAUCACUGGGCUUAAAGGGCGCGUAGGCGGGUCUUCAAGUCCGGGGUGAAAUCCCACGGCCCAACCGUGGAAGUGCCUUGGAUACUGGAGACCUCGAGGGGGAUAGGGGCGUGCGGAACUCAGGGUGGAGCGGUGAAAUGCGUAGAUAUCCUGAGGAACACCGGUGGCGAAAGCGGCGCGCUGGAUCCCUUCUGACGCUGAGGCGCGAAAGCCAGGGGAGCAAACGGG